RNAcentral lists this small nucleolar RNA (132 nucleotides) under Leishmania major strain Friedlin. RNAcentral's name for it is "Leishmania major sRNA LMJF_20_snoRNA0016". Lineage: Eukaryota; Euglenozoa; Kinetoplastea; Trypanosomatida; Trypanosomatidae. The record is from RNAcentral.
CCCAAAUGACGAAUGUGGCAUCUCUCCACGGACACCGCAUUCGCACUGCGGCGCGUGACAUCACUGUUGCCUUCGAACCUAAUACCAGGGCCGAUGUGGGCGUGGGUGUGGGUGUGGGUGUGCAGCUGAAGA